RNAcentral lists this transfer RNA (93 nucleotides) under Corynebacterium occultum. RNAcentral's name for it is "Corynebacterium sp. 2039 tRNA-Cys". The record is from RNAcentral. Lineage: Bacteria; Bacillati; Actinomycetota; Actinomycetes; Mycobacteriales; Corynebacteriaceae.
GUGAUCGGCUAGGGGAGUCCAUUCCCUUCCUGCAUGGUGGGGUGAGCAAGACGGGGCGUGAUGCGAUGGUGGAGCGUUUCCAGUCCGAUGAUG